RNAcentral lists this transfer RNA (72 nucleotides) under Capra hircus (goat). It matches the Rfam family "tRNA". From Rfam's summary of the family: Transfer RNA (tRNA) molecules are approximately 80 nucleotides in length. RNAcentral also lists the same sequence under 1 other name. Lineage: Eukaryota; Metazoa; Chordata; Mammalia; Artiodactyla; Bovidae. The record is from Rfam by way of RNAcentral.
UCUCUGGUGGCUCAGAUGGUAAAGAAUCUGCCUGCAAUGCAGGAGAUCCAGGUUCCAUCCCUGGGUUGGGAA